Macadamia integrifolia is the source of this 1039-nucleotide long non-coding RNA. RefSeq lists it as uncharacterized. Lineage: Eukaryota; Viridiplantae; Streptophyta; Magnoliopsida; Proteales; Proteaceae. The record is from RefSeq and is a predicted model, not a curated record. The transcript is spliced from 2 exons.
UUUUUUUUUUUGGGUCACAGUUUAUGUUUAGUUAGAAUUGCAACAUAUGUGGUUCAGUUUCAGACCAUCGUAUAUCCAUGUGUGCCUUGCAACAUAUAUGGUCACAGUUUUGAAAGUUGUGGUACCAUUGCAAUUGAGAUGUAUGGGAAACAUUUGUUUUCUAGCUUCCUAUCACAUUAUUCAUGCACAUGUACAGCAUUCAGUUACUCCCUACAUGAUCCUCAGUACCCAAAGAAUGAUGGUUCCCACCUCUUGAUUACAUGUAGACGCAAUAUUCAAAUUGAUUACAUGUAGACGCAAUAUUCAAAUUGUACUGUUUUUUGCAAAUUGUAGUGCCUAAGUGUAGUUAAAAACCUGUUAUGGUAUCAGCAUAACUACCAGCUCUUGUACUACUUGCAAUAAAAGUAGUACAGGUAAAUAUUGUUUUUUUUUUCAUAACCCAUAAGAAAACACAAGGCAGCCCCAAAAUAUUGUUACAGGUCUACUUUGUAACAUUUUCUCUAUUAAUGGUGCUUUCUAUGAUAGAUACCGAUGGAGAAAACUGCGAACAAGAGAAAUCAAUGUUGAGAAGAAGGCUUGCUGCUUCUGCUAUUGAAAUUGAAAAACAGAGAAUGAAAUGCUUCCCAUGAUUGCAAGCAGCAACAAAGCCAUUCUUGGGCCUCUGCUAGGGCAUGGAAAUUUUUCACAAGCAACCUGAAUUGACAAGUGUUUAGUGUAUGCAUCUGGGAGGGGGUUUGGGGGGGAUCUUAAUUGCAUAGUGAUAGUGUAAGUUCAUCCAAGUAAUGCAUUCAAGAAUGCAGGUUUUAAAACAUUUAUAGUAUUCCAUUAAAUGUUGAAACGUUCAACUCUUCUUACCAGAAAAAGAAAAAGGAAAAAAAAGAAAAUGAAACAUUCUACUCUGGAGCGAUAAAAAAAAAGUAACCCAAAGAACUAGCCUACAUAUCUAGAUGCGAAUGCCCACCCCACCCAUUGCAGACCAAUGAGUCCAUUGGUGUCCCAAGAUUGAAACAAAAAAAGUUACUACUGUUGUCGUCUAAUA